Molecule: RNase P RNA, 384 nt
Filed under: Prochlorococcus marinus str. MU1414
Lineage: Bacteria; Bacillati; Cyanobacteriota; Cyanophyceae; Synechococcales; Prochlorococcaceae
Also listed under: 3 other names
Description: RNase P RNA component class A
Rfam family: Bacterial RNase P class A
About the family: Ribonuclease P (RNase P) is a ubiquitous endoribonuclease, found in archaea, bacteria and eukarya as well as chloroplasts and mitochondria.
Source: RNAcentral
GAAAGCAGGAGAGGCAAUCGCAAGAAAGUUUUAUUUUGUUUCCAAAAUAAAACUUUCUUGAGGAAAGUCCGGGCUCCCAAAUGGUCAGGCUUGCUGGGUAAUUCCCAGUGCGGGCAACCGUGAGGAUAGUGCCACAGAAACAUACCGCCUAAUACUUUAUUGUAUGGCAAGGGUGCAAAGGUGUGGUAAGAGCGCACCAGCAACAUUGAGAAGUGUUGGCUAGGUAAACCCCAGCUGGGUGCAAGGCUUAGUAGAUUUUUGACCAUUAAACAAUCUACUUUUAAGCGCCGCUUGAGAUUGUGAAGUAAUUCCAGUCCUAGAUAGAUGAUUGCCCAUCUUAUUAAUUAAGAUGAACAGAACCCGGCUUAUGACCUGCUUUCUAAU